UUAGCCCCACUCAGAACACCCACCCCAAAAUCAGAGGAACCAACCUGUACAGAGUCAGCACAAUGAUAGUAUGAUGCAUGCAAACAUUUAUGCAAAUACAUACAGUCAUAGUAUAAUAAUCAUAAAUGCAAUAAAUACAACAACACAAGCAACCUAAACUACCCUAGAGAGCGUUAGGAACGACUCGCUUAGGGAAGAUGGACCAGCAAGAGGUCAAC
RNAcentral lists this long non-coding RNA (218 nucleotides) under Lathyrus oleraceus (garden pea). RNAcentral's name for it is "Pisum sativum (pea) long non-coding RNA (PSAT_LNC018172)". Lineage: Eukaryota; Viridiplantae; Streptophyta; Magnoliopsida; Fabales; Fabaceae. The record is from RNAcentral.